AGUUCACCACCACUGGACUCUCUCCCCUGUAGGCAAGCCCCUAAUAAACCCCCACGUUUCUUUUCCUUCCUUCUUUUCCUUCCUUCCCUUCCCUCCUGCCUUUCCUUCUCUUCUCUUCUCUUCUCUUUCUCUGUUUCUUUCAAGUCAGAGUCUCAUUUUGUUGUCCAGGCUGCAGUGGCAUGAUCUCAACUCACUGCAACCUCUGCCUCCUGAAACCCCCAUGUUUCGUUUGCUGGCUAUGGAUCCUUUAUUUGGCCUCUCAAACCUGGUGCCUUCCCUACUGAGGUUAACAGGUGUUCGGCACCACACCUCUUCCCACCCUUGGCCCUGCCAUUCCCUCAAUCUCGAUUCUUUCCCCCUCACAAUCAUUGGCACCUACCCUGUGCCAGGCCCUAACCUACAGGGGAAGUCAGGCACUUAUGACAGGAGGUGAUCAGGAAGGUGUACCUGGGUCGGGUCUCAGAGAAUGAGCCAGUGAGGGGAAGGCUCUAUCGGCCCCCAGCCAGAGAGCAGAGCUUCCCUCCCUCACCCCUUCCUGGGACCUCAGGUGGCCACCAACACUACACCUGUCACUCUUGCUAGUGCCUCGGGGACUCCUCACUGGAGAGACAGAGAGAGAGAGCACCAGUGAACUCUUCAGGCAAAAUCUGAAUCCCCUGCCCUAUUUGAAAACCCCUUUCUAAGCUCUGCUGUGGCUCUUUCUUACAGCAUCUUUUGGGGGAGAACCUUUCUCUCCCAUCUUCUAUUGACCCAGUCGAACAAGGGCAUUCCAAGACUCAUCUUCAUACAUUUGCUGUGAGGGGUGAGUGUGAGUGAAUCUGUACCAAGAGCAAAGAGGGAUUUGAGCUUCCAAUUAAGCAGGAGACAGCCAUUUAAACAGGUCCUCUAGCCCAUCCUCCCAAGGCAGUCUGGAGAGAUGAAUGAAGGUGCAUUGGAGAGGCAGGGUGUAUCUUGGAGUCCAACCGGCUUAGGCUUUCAAUUCAGUCCCACCACUUACUAGCUGGAUGACCUUGGGGAAGGCACUCAGCCAGUGUGGUUUGAUUAUCUGUACAGUUGAAGACAAGCAUUUCCACUUUGCUGUCUGAUUGAAAAUGUUCAAUUAGUCUGGGCAUGGUGCAUCAGUGGGCCAGGUGCGGUGGCUCACGCCUGUAAUUCCAGCACUUUGGGAGGCCGAGGCGGGCGGAUCAUGAGGUCAGGAAAUCGAGACCAUCCUGGCUAACAUGGUGAAACCCCGUCGCUACUAAAAAUACAAAAAAUUAGCCGGACUCACACCUGUAAUCCCAUCACUUUGGGAGGUCAAGGCAGGCAGAUCACCUGAGGUCAGGAGUUCAUGACCAGCCUGGCCAACAUGGUGUUAGCCAUCUCCACUAAAAAUACAACAAUUAGCCAGGUGUGGUGGUGGGCGCCUGUAAUCCCAGCUACUUGGGAGGCUGAGGCAGGAGAAUCGCUUGAACCCUGGAGGCGGACGUUGCAGUGAGCUGAGGUGGGGUCAUUGCACUCCUGGAGGCGGACGUUGCAGUGAGCUGAGGUGGGGUCAUUGCACUCCAGCCUGGGUGACAAGAGUGAAACUUUGUCUCAAAAAAAAAAAAAAAAGAAAAGAAAAA
Macaca fascicularis (crab-eating macaque) is the source of this 1604-nucleotide long non-coding RNA. The record is from Ensembl. NCBI's taxonomy places the organism in Eukaryota, Metazoa, Chordata, Mammalia, Primates, Cercopithecidae.